UCAAGGCUCAAUCUCAUCUCCUCCAAGCAUCCUCAGCAUCCUCCGUCAGCUCCAAAUGCUAGGAUUCUGCUCCGACCUCAACCCCUUCAUCGAAGAAUCCAACAAGAAAUCACAAAGUUCUCUCUUUGACAGGAUCAUCUCUGCAUUCUUGGAAGAAACCCAUCAGAAUCAAGAAAUCCUUUCCAUCCAACUAAGCUCACGAAUGACAAGAGCGUGGACCUUUUUUUAGCUAAAUCAGGGAGUUGCUGAAAAUGGUGGGUGCGACUCCAUCACCGCAAAUCAGCUAUGGGGUUCAGUGGCCAAGAAAACUGGGUGCAAUUUGAGAGACGGGUUGCUGGUGGAAUUAGUCUAUUUGAAGUAUCUUGAUGAGUUCAACAGGCUUUUAUACGGCACAUCUUUUAAUAGCAAAAAAUAGGAGACCAAGAUUUCAUCUCUUCUUGAUGAUGAUGAUGAUGUUAUCUUGGAUUAUGUUGAGGCUGAGCAAGAAAUUUCGCGGGUGAAGAAGGGGCAGAGGAAGAGGGAGCACAGGAAGAGGGAGCACUCUCUAGUGGGGAUGUUAGAUUGGUUGUUAUCGGCAGCAAGGAGACCUUGGGAUCCUUCAACUGGAAACAUAGAAUAGGAUUCUGCAUCCCAUUUGAUGUUUUCCGAACCGCUCAUGGCUCGAGAAGCAAUGUUUCAUAAGAUAAAACCAAUGCUACUCGGCGUACUCGCCAUACACAUGGGGAACUUGAACUUGAACGGCUUAACACUUCUGUCAAAUGGGUUCUUGAACUUGGCGUGGUCUGCUAGAGUUAGAAAAUUUGAAAUUUUUUCUGUUUUUGCAAAUUAAAGAGUCAAACAUAUAACCAGCAAACAUAUUGUUAUUGGAAGUCAUGUUCGAUGAGUUAUUUACUGUGUAUUACCGAUCUGUUGUUGGUCAAGCAAGGUUAAAGGAUCAUUCUAGGUCCACCUCGUUUAUAUUUGACAUGGCCUGCUAGCACAACCUUAUAGUAUCACAUAAUCAUAUCUAUGCAUGGUACGUAGAUUACCUAAAAAACAAUCUUGUUUUAUCAGUUAUUUUGUCAAGUCUCAAGUCUAUAUAUCUUUUUGAUUUACAAGAAUGUUGUACUUUUCAUGUAUAUAGAAUCUGUCAGUCAUCAAUUUGAGAUACAUUUGAAAUGCUAUUUUGAUCCAAUUUUCAUAUACUCACUCCAGUCGGAACUUGUUAGACUAGCAAAUAUUUUUAGCAAUUCAAUUAAAGCAUGAAGUUGUUUCCACUACGUAUUGUUCUUUUGCUACCUAGGAUAUGAUAAGGUGAAAAUGUUUGCAUGUACCUGAAUUUCCCAAUUUUUGCUUCACGUUUGUAGAUGUGACAUAAAUAUGAGUCAUAUGCAGAUACAAUAAGAUGAUAAAUCACCACUACUUAAUUCUCAUAAGUCAUAAAUUUUUUUCUUUUCUUUUCUUUUCUUUUUGUUUGUCUUUUCAGCUUUGGAUAUGGUUGCAGCUGAUAAAAUCAGGAUUGAUUUGUUCAUGAAAAACAAAGUGAAACAUACCACAUCUAUGGUAUUCAUGAUUAUUAAUUCACUGCUUUCUUUAUCCUAAUUUCACAAUGCAUCAUGAUUUAAUUUCAGUUUUGAAACCAACAAUUAUACUGAAUCUGUCCUAGUGCCAACAUUGUAUGAAACUGGUGUUUCAGAACGUUAUUUGAAUAAAUUUAUAUCUGUAGUAAUGUAAUCAAGCAAAAGCAUUUCUGCUUAAUAGAUUGCAGAUCGGCAUGAGAAUCCUUGACAAGUGGCAGAGAAGUUACAUUUCAUCCGAGGAUAUAUUAGAUGUUGUCCGAACACCACCCAAAAGCAAAACUUAUGUGAUCCAAGUGGGCAAAUCCUUUCAAGCUCAAGUGCCAGAUUGGAAUCCAAGAGCUUACGGAAGUUCUAACAAUCGAGAUGAAUUAAAACAGUUAGGCAUACAGAUCUGGCCUACUGCACAGAAGAAGGCUGACAGAUACGCUGAUUGAGAGGGAUCCAAUAGGCAAAGACAGACUAGACGCCACCUGCGGGUGUCCCCGUCUCCAGGUUCUGUUGAAUGUGUCACAGACUUCAUGUGCAGGAGAAAAGAAAAUGACUGAAACUUGAACUGGGUCCAGCUUUCAGAGGUUGCGAUUUGAUGAAAUGGGUGAAGAAGUUGCACGAGGAUGGACCGAGGAAGGGGAGAAGUUUGAGGACUUGUAUAUUGCUUGAAGGCGCGGCACUCUCGAAAGGAGUCGUGGGGUGAGCUUAAGUCAGGCCUUGUUUAAUGUGCUUCUUCUCAGGCGCAGGAGCGAACAGAAGCGGGAGACGCUGGAAAAAGUCAGCAGUGAGUUAUGGGAGAGAAAGAUCCACUGUCUGUUCUAGUUUUUGCAGCUAGCUUUGGGACUGAGAGAUACUUACUCCAGUGUCUUCUUAACUCAAGACUUUUUUUUGGUUACAGUAGGUACAACUGAAGGAUACAAAAUCCAUUACUAAAGAAAUUGGUGUUGUUUCUUGUAACUUGCAUAGUUAUGCCGGAUUCAGCAAGAUUCCAUACGUGAAAAUUAUGCUCACCUAUACAUUAUCCUCGUAUUUGUACUGUAUUGGAGAAAUUUUUCUAGUACAGUUUUUUUUUUUCGUCACUAACAAUUUGUGGAUGAAUUAGUUGGUCCUUCUUGCAAGUUUAA
Asparagus officinalis (garden asparagus) is the source of this 2671-nucleotide long non-coding RNA. RefSeq lists it as uncharacterized. NCBI's taxonomy places the organism in Eukaryota, Viridiplantae, Streptophyta, Magnoliopsida, Asparagales, Asparagaceae. The record is from RefSeq and is a predicted model, not a curated record. The transcript has 2 exons.